RNAcentral lists this ribosomal RNA (256 nucleotides) under uncultured bacterium. Its description in RNAcentral is "partial 16S ribosomal RNA". It matches the Rfam family "Bacterial small subunit ribosomal RNA", at positions 524 to 776 of the family's 1533-position model. The record is from RNAcentral.
UACGUAGGGCGCAAGCGUUGUCCGGAAUUAUUGGGCGUAAAGAGCUCGUAGGCGGCUUGUCACGUCGGGGUGUGAAAGCCCGGGGCUUAACCCCGGGCCUGCAGUGGGUACGGGCAGACUAGAGUGCGGUAGGGGAGACUGGAAUUCCGUGGUGUAGCGGUGAAAUGCGCAGAUAUCAGGAGGAACACCGGUGGCGAAGGCGGGUCUCUGGGCCGUAACUGACGCUGGAGGAGCGAAAGCAUGGGGAGCGAACAGG